RNAcentral lists this ribosomal RNA (385 nucleotides) under uncultured bacterium. RNAcentral describes it as "bacterial SSU rRNA". It matches the Rfam family "Bacterial small subunit ribosomal RNA", at positions 28 to 412 of the family's 1533-position model. The record is from RNAcentral.
GACGAACGCUGGCGGCGUGCUUAACACAUGCAAGUCGAGCGGUAAGGCCCUUUCGGGGGUACACGAGCGGCGAACGGGUGAGUAACACGUGGGUGACCUGCCCUCAGCUCUGGGAUAAGCCUGGGAAACCGGGUCUAAUACUGGAUAUGACUCCAUGACGCAUGUUGUGGGGUGGAAAGCCUUGUGCGGCUGAGGAUGGGCCCGCGGCCUAUCAGCUUGUUGGUGGGGUGANGGCCUACCAAGGCGACGACGGGUAGCCGGCCUGAGAGGGCGGACCGGCCACACUGGGACCGAGACACGGCCCAGACUCCUACGGGAGGCAGCAGGUGGGGAAUCUUGCGCAAUGGGCGAAAGCCUGACGCAGCGACGCCGCGUGAGGGAUGAC